GGCCUCGUGGUCCAAUGAUAUACGACACCACUAUUCUCCGAAAAUAGAACGUCCGAGGGGUGGAGAGUGCGGGUUCGAUUCCCGCCGAGGCAG
Molecule: non-coding RNA, 93 nt
Organism: Mycena epipterygia
Lineage: Eukaryota; Fungi; Basidiomycota; Agaricomycetes; Agaricales; Mycenaceae
Source: the annotation of a GenBank genome assembly